GGCCCGUUCGGCUAGCGGUCUAGGCCGCCGCCCUCUCACGGCGGAAACGGGGGUUCGAGUCCCCCACGGGUCA
RNAcentral lists this transfer RNA (73 nucleotides) under Fimbriiglobus ruber. It matches the Rfam family "tRNA". Rfam says of the family: Transfer RNA (tRNA) molecules are approximately 80 nucleotides in length. Their secondary structure includes four short double-helical elements and three loops (D, anti-codon, and T loops). Further hydrogen bonds mediate the characteristic L-shaped molecular structure. tRNAs have two regions of fundamental functional importance: the anti-codon, which is responsible for specific mRNA codon recognition, and the 3' end, to which the tRNAs corresponding amino acid is attached (by aminoacyl-tRNA synthetases). tRNAs cope with the degeneracy of the genetic code in two manners: having more than one tRNA (with a specific anti-codon) for a particular amino acid; and 'wobble' base-pairing, i.e. permitting non-standard base-pairing at the 3rd anti-codon position. The record is from Rfam by way of RNAcentral. Lineage: Bacteria; Pseudomonadati; Planctomycetota; Planctomycetia; Gemmatales; Gemmataceae.